ACGAAGGUAACAUAGACACAACCAUGCCAUCACACCCUGUGGGUAACUGCAGAUUCAACACUCUGACAGAGUGAGAUUGCUGACACACAAUUUUGGAGCUGCUAAGUAACAGUUUGUGUGCUCAUUAGAAUAUUCAUUAAAACGGUAACGCAAGAGAUAUCACAAAAAUCUCCUGCUAACCUUUCACCCCCUGAUCUGGUCACCUGUCCCCAUACACUAGUAUGGGGAGAAAAAAAUGUAUCAAAUGCCAUCUGAAUGUUCCCUUCGGAGCUUAACUGCAUGAACAUCCAGAUGGUGUUUAUUCCCGCACACUGCUCCAUAUGGGAAGGAAUACCCGGUUGCAAAGAGGGAUCCGUCCGCCACUGCCCGGUGAAAAGAUUUGCAGGAAAAACUGAUUUGCGGAUCUGCUGUCUUCACGCUGGAGUGGACCCUCCUCCUGAGAAUUAAAAAAAUGUCCAUCGAGAGCGGUGAAUUUCUCUCAGGCUUCAUCAGCCUCUACCGUGAUGAAGAGUGCUUGUGGCUGACCUCAUCACCAGAGUAUUCCAACAAACAGAAGAGAGAGGCAGCCUAUAACCGCAUGGUGGACUGCUCCAAGCCCACGUACUUUGCGACCACGGUGACCUGGGUCAGGAAAAAAAUUGCAAACUUACGCACAGUGUAUGUGAAAGAAAACAAGAAAGUGGAGGAAUCCAGCAAUUCCCCAGCUCUGGUACUACUAGGACCUGACCUUCCUCCUGGAGAAAAGGAUGGCGAAAGCAUCCCUGGUUGUGAUGGCCGAGUCCGAGGGGUAAAGUCUGGAUGUGGAGUAGGCCGAAGUGACACAAGAAGACUUAAGCCAUACCCCCGAUAUCCCAGAUUCAUCUUUGGAGGAAACGUCUCCGCAGCACCUUGGUGGCAGGAAGUAUCCACGAAAAACCACAUUUGCAGAAGACCCUUUACUAAUGCAGGCCCAUUUACUGCUGCUCCAUAAACGAGACAAAAUUGACGAUUUUGCCUCAUAUCUGAGCAAAACCAUGCAAAAGCUUUCCGAUGAGCAGCAACACGAGUGCCAGCGCCUGGUGUCACAGGUUUUGUAUAACGCACUCAAAGGACAACUGACACCAGAGUGCAACGUUACGGAACCAGAACCUGAGGCACGUGCUCCACAUCAUCCUUUUCCCUUCAGUCCACCACCCACCGACCCUUCCUCCAGUAGCCAUCCUCCUCUGCAUCCCAGCUACCCAUACUGUUAUACUCCACUGCAGGGACCACCCACCAAUUUCCAUCCUCCUCCUCAAACCCCUCCUUCUCAAACCAGCUACCCUUCCCAUUAUCGUCAACCCCUGCUCCCAUCCACCCACCCUUCCUCCACUAUCCAAUCCCCUCCUCAACCCAGCCAGCCACACAUCCACCAUCCCCUCCGCAAUUCUGUCCUCUUUGAUGGCAGAGGGGGAUCAGGAGGAGGUGGAGGAGACAAGUCUCUUUGAAAUGUAGGGUGAUCCUCAUUUACUGCUGCCCUUAUUAUACAUACCAGCAGAUGUGGUGCAUUCUGAUACUACGGUGAGUGUCACCACUUUCAGGCGGACAAUGCACACAUGCUGCUAGGGACAGUUUGAUGGUACCAGGGACCCAUCUUCCUGCCCCUAGCUGCAUGUGUGCAUUGCGCCCCUGGCACCGGUGACACUCACCGUAGUAUCAGAAUGCACCACUCUGUUGGUAUAUAUUAAAUUCCUGCUGCCCUUGGUAUACACUGCUUAAAAAAAAAGGGAACACUUAAACAACACAUUCGAGAUCUGAAUGAAUGAAAUAUUCUUAUUAAAUACUUUGUUCUUUACAUAGUUCAAUGUGCUCACAACAAAAUCACACAAAAAUUAUCGAUGGAAGUCAAAUUUAUUAACCCAUGGAGGUCUGGAUUUGGAGUCACACUCAAAAUUAAAGUGGAAAAACACACUACAGGCUGAUCCAACUUUGAUGUGAUGUCCUUAAAACAAGUCAAAAUGAGGCUCAGUAGUGUGUGUGGCCUCCACGUGCCUGUAUGACCUCCGUACAACGCCUGGGCAUGCUCCUGAUGAGGUGGCGGAUGGUCUCCUGAGGGAUCUCCUCCCAGACCUGGACUAACGCAUCCGCCAACUCCUGGACAGUCUGUGGUGCAACGUGGCGUUGGUGGAUGGAGCGAGACAUGAUGUCCCAGAUGUGCUCAAUUGGAUUCAGGUCUGGGGAACGGGCGGGCCAGUCCAUAGCAUCAAUGCCUUCGUCUUGCAGGAACUGCUGACACACUCCAGCCACAAGAGGUCUAGCAUUGUCUUGCAUUAGGAGGAACCCAGGGCCAACCGCACCAGCAUAUGAGGAUCUCAUCUCGGUACCUAAUGGCAGUCAGGCUACCUCUGGCGAGCACAUGGAGGGCUGUGUGGUCCCCCAAAGAAAUGCCACCCCACACCAUUACUGACCUACUGCCAAACCGGUCAUGCUGGAGGAUGUUGCAGGCAGCAGAACGUUCUCCUUGGCGUCUCCAGACUCUGUCACGUCUGUCACAUGUGCUCAGUGAGAACCUGCUUUCAUCUGUGAAGAGCAAAGGUCGCCAGUGGCGAAUUUACCAAUCUUGGUUGUUCUCUGGCAAAUGCCAAAUGUCCUGCACGGUGUUGGGCUGUAAGCACAACCCCCACCUGUGGAUGUCGGGCCCUCAUACCACCCUCAUGGAGUCUGUUUCUGAUCGUUUGAGUAGACACAUGCACAUUUGUGGCUUGAUGGAGGUCAUUUUGCAGGGCUCUGGCAGUGCUCCUCCUGUUCCUCCUUGCACAAAGGCGGAGGUAGCGGUCCUGCUGCUUGGUUGUUGCCCUCCUACGGCCUCCUCCACGUCUCCUGAUGUACUGACCUGUCUCCUGGUAGCGCCUCCAUGCUCUGGACACUACGCUGACAGACACAGCAAACCUUAUUGCCACAGCUCGCAUUGAUGUGCCAUCCUGGAUGAGCUGCACUACCUGAGCCACUUGUGUGGGUUGUAGACUCCGUCUCAUGCUACCACUAGAGUGAAAGCACCGCCAGCUUUCAAAAGUGACCAAAACAUCAGCCAGAAAGCAUAGGAGCUGAGAAGUGGUCUGUGGUCACCACCUGCAGAACAACCACUUUAUUUGGGGGUGUCUUGCUAAUUGCCUAUAAUUUCCACCUGUUGUCUAUUCCAUUUGCACAACAUCAUGUGAAAUUGAUUGUCAGUCAGUGUUGCUUCCUAAGUGGACAGUUUGAUUUCACAGAAGUGUGAUUGACUUGGAGUUACAUUGUGUUGUUUAAGCUUUCCCUUUAUUUUUUUGAGCAGUGUAUAUUGUGAUAGAUCUGGUGCACUAUGAUAUAUGGCGUUUUAGUGGCUCCGCUUUUAGGUGGACAAUGCACACAUGCAGCUUGGGUCAGGUUGAUGGUGCUGGGGAGCCUGAAGCCGGGCCUACCUGCAUGUGUGCAUUGUGCCCCUGAAACCACUGCGACUCAAAAAACACAGUAUAUCAUACUGCACCAGAUUUAUAUGCAAAAUAAAAAUUUGAAGAUACAUUACUAAAG
Molecule: long non-coding RNA, 3525 nt
Organism: Pseudophryne corroboree (corroboree frog)
Lineage: Eukaryota; Metazoa; Chordata; Amphibia; Anura; Myobatrachidae
Exons: 3
Source: RefSeq, a predicted model, not a curated record